This 4307-nucleotide long non-coding RNA is filed under the name Gallus gallus (chicken). The record is from RNAcentral. Lineage: Eukaryota; Metazoa; Chordata; Aves; Galliformes; Phasianidae.
GUUUGUUUGCACUGGUGGCUGCUGGAUCUGGUGAUCUCCAAGGAAAUGACUUCUCAGUAGAACUUGUGCUGGCGAUACUUGGUGAUUCUGCUCCAAGCCUACAUCUUUCUAGCUGAUUAGCCACAAUUUGCCUUUCCACUUCCAGUUCUCUGGUAAGUCUUUGAAAUUGGAGUUCCUGCUCCUUUACAGAGGCUAAAAUGGUAGUGGCAGUAGUCUCGGGUUCCAUUCCCGGGCUGGUGGAAGUCUCCUGCGUUGCCUGCAGCAGCCCCUCUUCCACCACUGGGGUCUGCUCAGGGGCUGGCAUUUCGCCGCAGGCGGCGGCGGCGGGCGCGGCCGCCCCCUCAGCCGCGGCGGGCCCUAGCCCGGGGUCUCCAUGGUGGCGGCGGCAGUAGCGGUGGUGGCGCCGCCGCCCGCUCCGCCUGGCCGCGCUCCGCCUCCCGACGUACGUCACGCAACGCCCCGCCCUCCGCUCCGCGCCUAUUGGCCCGACGGGACUCAGGGCGACGGGGGAUUGGCUGAUGAGUCGUGCCGAGCAGGCCAAUGGCGGAAGGAGUUGAGGUUGCUAUGGUUACCGAUGCCGUGAGGCGGCGGAAGGGAAGGCGCGGGCCGGGGGAUGCCGGCAGUGCCCCGCGGAGGCGCGCAGCGGCCCGGGCCGCUCCCUGGCGGUUCCCGCCGGGUCUAGAAUCAGAAGUUCCUCCCUGAUGCUUCAAGCACUCGUUAUGACCACCAAGCUUCUCAAGGCACAGCCUCUUCAGUCUGGCUGAAGCCUAGCUGUGAUGGAAAGGGACAAUGCUGCCCAGUCAUGUCAUCUCUCUGCCUUUCAUUGUACCAGCAAGCAUGACUGCACAACUGUGGAGCCACCUAGGUUGGAAAACUGAUCCAGUUUUCUCCAGAUUCUCUCCACAACAUAGCUUCUUUUUCAGUUGUAUCAAUGUCCUCAUCCAGCUCACUGUUCUGGCCUUCAGUGCCUGCGCUGUGGUCUGGGCAAGUAGCCAUGUGUAGAGGUGAUGGGGGACCUCCUCUUCUGGCAGUGAUGUGAAAUGGGCUGCCCUGAGCAUCUCUUUCAGCAGAACUGAGGUUUGAGAAAUAACAGCUUGCUGGACUGCAAUAUAAACUCAGUUGCUGAGUUUAGGAAAAGUAACCUUUCUUUGGCAAAACAAAAGAAUCCCAUUUUAAUAUAUUGUCCCGGUUUAUAGGGUGAAAUGGUGAGUGUUCAUUUGGCACUGUGGAGGGUGCAGCGUGCUCCACCACAGGGACAUCUAUAAAUCAGGGCUGCUCUUGCAUGUUUCUGUAUCUGAUGAAAGCGGGCAGCUCAGCAGCAGCUGAGUGGGUGAUCUGGGGAGGCAAUGUGAGAAGAAGCUGGGGGGGAUGUCCAAUAAAGAAAAAAUGAUUAGCAGUCACUGUUGGGUGGGUUUUCAAGUUCCAAGCUUGUAAGUAUUAGCAACUUAUUUAAAAAAAAUCAAGAACAAAACCAAAACCCCCAACCAACAAAACCAAACCUCCACCACUGACAGAAAUGCCACAAAAACUCUGGAGGGUGCAGGUACCAAAAUCUGGUCAAGGAUAGGUGGAUGCCUGCUGGGAUCAUCUGCAGUUCCUACUGGGCAAAAUAGUGCUGGGCUUUAUUUGUGACCUGGAGAAAAACUUGGGAAAUCUGCCAAACUGAGAUCUUUCUCAUCAAUCUAGGAAUGCUGAAUUUCAAACUGGAAUUUAGACAGCCUUACCAAGACAUUAAAGAAAAUACAUAAGCAAGAAGGUUUUUGUGUAUGGACUCUACUUUGCUCGGUGUUGAAAUAAGAGGCUAAUAUUGGAAAAAUAUUUCUGUGUGUGACUCUGUAACUUUCUAAUUGUUGGAUACAGUGCUGGAAACAAAAUCGACUCAGAGGGCUUUCAGUGAUCAGUGGGGCUGUGAUCUGAUGACAGCAGUCCACGCGCUCUGUACAGAAAUUUAAACUCAGUUAUCAGUAAAUAAUUUUGUUCUCAGAGGAUUCAUGACUUCUGCACGCUCUGGGUGACAUCAGGUGUAUUCUGCUGAACUUCUGCUACUACUUGGUAUUGAUUUGUUUCAGUAUCAGAUGGCAUGGUAAAUGUGAUGGUACUCAGAGUUCUGCUGCAGCUCCUUUAAGCCCAGCUCUGCAGCUAUCCGUGCCUGUGAAAUUGCCUGCUUUUUCCAUUGGCCCUGUGUUGCUGGAGAUGGAACACUGCUCUGAAGCACUGGCUGCUCUCACCCCAGUCUUUUGUUCCGUGUUGCUCUGUCACCCAAAGUAACACAUUUUCUUUUCUCAUUAAGCCAUCCCUUUCUUCUACAAGAUCUGUACAGAAGUGAUGCUUCUUUUCUAAAGCUUUGUAGCUUUGGGCUUCUCUUCAGAAAGAUUUUUUUUUGUUAACUAAUGCGAGUAGUCCCAUAAGACCUUUCUUCCUGGUUAUUGCUUGCAGCCUUAGUGAGGGUUGGUUAGUUGUUUUUAAAUGUGUUCUAGUUCCCUUAGAAAAAUGUUCUUUUACUUUCCGUUGUAUAUUUGUAUAGUAUCAAGAACAUAUAAUACUGAUUCAGACUUUACUAAACUGUUUUGUUUGUUUUGGUAUGUAUAAGAUUAUACAUGCAGCUAUGUGGUCCUUUGGAUCCUGCCUAGGAUGAACCUAAUUCCUUAGGAAGGAGAACGGCACCAAAGCUUUUAUAAAUAAAUACCAAAGCUUUUAUAAAUAAAUAAACAGACUUUUUUUUCUUCUACAGUUUGGAAUCAUCUGUAUGGAUCAUAAAUGUGGAAAUAAGAAACUAUGCAGUUUUUUUUACAGAUUCAGCUUGAAGUGCUGUGCCUUGCCUAGUUCUGGGAGCCACCUGUUAGAGAGGGGAUGCAUUUUUUUAGGUUACCAAGGUGACUGGUUUUGUUUUUAAUCACAAAGUUAAAUGUUGUUGUGACAUAAAAGCAUGAGAAGGGUUUACUUGGCUCAUGUUAGUGUUUAGAAGGCAGGUUAAAUUUUGGGCCAGGAGCAUCAUUUCAUUAGUGCUCUUAAGCAAAGAAACCCCAAGUAAGAAGGCUGCUUUUCUUAGGGCUUCUCUGCUCUGUCUGCUCUCUGCGUUUAUAUGGCUCAAAAGUUGUCUGGCUUAGGAGAGAAAUAAGACAGCAUCAGUUUUGUGUGGGUGGCUGAAAUGCUUUUUUUCCAAAACUGAUGAGCCUGAAGAGAUAAUGAAAUUGCAAUAUUUUGUUCCCCUAAUACCUCUCUCCUUAGAGUGCCCCGGACUAUUGCUUUGACUUUGUUUCCCGCUAACAGAAAAAAUGUGUCAGGCAACUCCGAGAUGCUUUGUUGUAAUGCAGGGAAUGCUGAUUGUACUGCAGUUUUCUGUUACAUUGUUCUAAGCUCUGUUAUGUUAAAUGAGUAAUAUUGAUAUAUGUUUUUAUGUGAGGGAUGCCAGAGCAGCAUAGUAUUAAGCUGUUCUAUGCACCAUUGCAAAUAUGCUCCUUUCCACCUGUGGUUAGUGAAUGAGCAGACAUGCUUUGCAAGUUUGCUAAUUAAGGGACAAUUUUACUGUACGUUUGUUGCUUCUUAAAUAAUGGAGGAAAUUAUAGGCUCCUGUGAUGGAUAAAUUCACUUGCUUCUUCCAGUGAAUCUUUAAAUAAAUAUGUCAAAGGAUAUGGUUUAAUUUGUAGUAUUUUUAAUGCUAUACGUGGACGUAACGUUCGUAAUUUCAAUCAUGCUUUGAUACGGGCAGGUGUGUUGUCUACAGCUGGCUAACUUUUAAAUGCUGCCCUUGGUCAGUGCAGAUGGUCUGUCUGUGUUUGUACAGAACAACACAGCCAAAUGGCAGCUGGGGCCCUUGGUUUGUGGUCGCCUGGCAGGCAUGGGUGACUCCACUCCCUACCUUCUUAUGUCCUUUGCCCACUUUCAGAGAUUUGGUUUCCUUUCUUUUACAUCAUUGUUGCACUGAAAAUAAACUUUUUUCUAUGUGGAAUUUUCUUUAAGUUUAUUUUAUCUUGCAUUUGUGAAUUAAAAUAUUGAAAGAUGUAAGAGGGAAACAGAAGUCCUCUUUUAUGUGUGGGUAUUCAGCAAAGUUGUUUUGUUUCGUUUUGGUUUUGUUCCCUUGCAGUGUCACAGAGUCUUCCUGUGACAGGAAGAUUCAGGCUGAUUGCUCAAAGUGCUCCUCAAACUGAUCCUCAUAUUCUGAAAUUAAUUACUUAAUGAGGAACUAAUGAAGUUAUAUCAGACAAAGAGGACUGUGUCACUUCUGGGAACAUGCAGUUUCCACUACUUGACUAUUUCAAACAGCUCCGUAGUUCUUUCAUUAAGGAAUGAAGAUUUGAAUGAUAAUC